AUACAAGCUCUUGCGCAAUCAAA
RNAcentral lists this small nuclear RNA (23 nucleotides) under Arabidopsis thaliana (thale cress). RNAcentral describes it as "snRNA_04287". Lineage: Eukaryota; Viridiplantae; Streptophyta; Magnoliopsida; Brassicales; Brassicaceae. The record is from RNAcentral.